CCUUCACACUGUCGGGCUACAUCAUUAACUGGAACAAGGCUAUAGACUUGUCUCGCAAGAGCCAUCCCGGGGCCAUCGUCCACCUCAGCGACUGCCCCGUAGACCCUGGCAAGCUCCUGUUGGGGUUCGAGACGGGC
Hyalella azteca is the source of this 137-nucleotide long non-coding RNA. RefSeq lists it as uncharacterized. The record is from RefSeq and is a predicted model, not a curated record. The transcript has 3 exons. Lineage: Eukaryota; Metazoa; Arthropoda; Malacostraca; Amphipoda; Hyalellidae.